UUAUACCUACGGGGGGCAGCAGUGGGGGAUAUUGGACAAUGGGGGGAACCCUGAUCCAGCGACGCCGCGUGAGUGAAGAAGUAUUUCGGUAUGUAAAGCUCUGUCAGCAGGGAAGAAAGCAAUAACGGUACCUGACCAAGAAGCCCCGGCUAACUACGUGCCAGCAGCCGCGGUAAUACGGAGGAUGCGAGCGUUAUCCGGAUUUACUGGGUGUAAAGGGAGCGUAGACGGCAGCACAAGUCUGGAGUGAAAUGCCGGGGCUUAACCCCGGAACUGCUUUGGAAACUGUGCAGCUAGAGGGCAGG
RNAcentral lists this ribosomal RNA (305 nucleotides) under uncultured bacterium. RNAcentral describes it as "bacterial SSU rRNA". It matches the Rfam family "Bacterial small subunit ribosomal RNA", at positions 333 to 652 of the family's 1533-position model. The record is from RNAcentral.